CCUACGGGAGGCUGCAGUGGGGAAUAUUGCACAAUGGGGGAAACCCUGAUGCAGCGACGCCGCGUGAGUGAAGAAGGAUUUCGGUAUGUAAAGCUCUAUCAGCAGGGAAGAAAGAGCGACCUUUGGGUCGCCAGACGGUACCUGAUGAAGAAGCACCGGCGAACGACGUGCCAGCAGCCGCGGUAAUACGUAGGGGGCAAGCGUUCUCCGGAUUUACUGGGUGGACAGGGAGCGUAGACGGCAGCGCAAGUCUGAAGUGAAAUGCCGGGGCUUAACCCCGGAACUGCUUUGGAAACUGUGCAGCUAGCGUGCAGGAGAGGUAAGUGGACUUCCUAGUGUAGCGGUGAAAUGCGUAGAUAUUAGGAGGCACACCAGUGGCGAAGGCGGCUUACUGGACUGUACCUGCCGUUGCGGCUCGAAAGCGUGGGGAGCAAACAGGAUUAGAUUCCCUAGUAGUC
This 458-nucleotide ribosomal RNA is filed under the name uncultured bacterium. Its description in RNAcentral is "partial 16S ribosomal RNA". It matches the Rfam family "Bacterial small subunit ribosomal RNA", at positions 338 to 795 of the family's 1533-position model. The record is from RNAcentral.